Molecule: transfer RNA, 72 nt
Filed under: Pangasianodon hypophthalmus (striped catfish)
Lineage: Eukaryota; Metazoa; Chordata; Actinopteri; Siluriformes; Pangasiidae
Description: tRNA-Glu
Rfam family: tRNA
About the family: Transfer RNA (tRNA) molecules are approximately 80 nucleotides in length. Their secondary structure includes four short double-helical elements and three loops (D, anti-codon, and T loops).
Source: RNAcentral
UCUCUGGAGGACUAGUGGUCAGGCUUCGGCGCUCUCACCGCCACGGCCCGGGUUCGCUUCCUGGCCAGGGAA